Molecule: ribosomal RNA, 344 nt
Filed under: Ceratomegilla ulkei
Lineage: Eukaryota; Metazoa; Arthropoda; Insecta; Coleoptera; Coccinellidae
Description: partial large subunit ribosomal RNA
Source: RNAcentral
UUUGAGUAUAAUUUAAAGUAGGGCCUGCCCACUGAAUAUUUAAAGGGCCGCAGUAUUUUGACUGUGCAAAGGUAGCAUAAUCAUUAGUUUUUUAAUUGAAAGCUUGUAUGAAUGGUUUGAUGAAAAAAUUACUUUCUUUAUUUAAUUUUUAAAUAACUUUAUUUUUAAGUCAAAAAGCUUAAAUAGAUUUAAUAGACGAGAAGACCCUAUAGAGUUUAAUUUUUAUUAAUAGUUAAAUUUUUAGAAUUAUAAAAUUUUAUUUUUAAGAAAAAUUUGAUUGGGGUGAUUAUAAAAUUAAAAUAACUUUUAUUUUAAAUUGUACAUUGAUUUAUGCUUAAAAUCCA